UCGCAGUAUUAUACCAUUUUUAUACACAGAACAUCAUGUUUGAAGAUAGACUAGCCCCAGAAGGUGAUACGGAAAGGAAAUUUGAAAAUAAUGAUGACCGAGUGAAAGGCGCUAGAUCUACAGGAAAGUCUGAUAAACAGGCCUCAGAAAUAGACCUCGAAUGGGUCAUUGACAAUGAAGUGGGACAAUUUGGACGGUUUCAAUUUAUUCAUGUGCUACUAUUAGUGUUCCCUGUUGUUGCUCAAGCAUUUUUGAGUGAAUACGUGUUUUCUGCUUCCGGUGUUUCGCAUAGAUGUCGGAUCCCUGAAUGCGAAGAGACUGGUGGGACAGGUUACGAAUUGUUCCCAGAGUGGAUUACAAACGCUGUGCCCAGCAGUAGCGGACAACCAGAUAGUUGUUCACGCUACGCUGCGGUUGGCAAUGGUUCACUGGAAUACUGCCCGGCUACUGUCUUCGAUCAGGGUCUCACACAGGAGUGCGAUGGAUUUGUAUACGAGAGGACCAAUUCAGUUGUCUAUGAGUUUGAUCUUGGAUGCCAAGAGUGGAUGCGAGCACUGGCUGGUACACUGAGCAGUGUUGGCUUUCUUCUUAAUCUCCCAAUCACGGGCUACAUCUCCGACAAGUAUGGGAGACGAGUAGCCCUCUGCAUCAAUGUUUUCAAUUUGGCACUGUUUGGCUUGAUCAGAGCAUUUUCUGUAAACUAUCCCAUGUAUUUGGUGCUACAGAUUUUGCAGUCAACUCUUGGAGCCGGAACAUCCAGCGCUGCUUUUAUUUUAGCGACAGAACAGUUGAUUGGUCCAAAAUAUCGAGUACUGGCGAGUUCUAUAAGCUUAGUCUCAUUCUCAGUGGGAAAUGUCCUCAUGGCUGGAAUAGGCUGGCUCGUGCAGUCAUGGCGCUCUUUCAUGAUGACAAUUUACAUUCCCUGCUUUUUAAUGGUAGUUUAUUACUGGUGCAUCACGGAAAGUGUGAGGUGGCUGCUUACUAAAGAAAAGUUCGACGAGGCCAAAAAAGUUCUGGAGAAAGCUGCAAACAUGAACAAAAGAGUGAUCAGUGAGAAAUCUAUCCAGGCGCUGAUGCAACCAACGGAAGUAAAAAAGACUCAGUUUCAGAUGGACUCCAAAGGCUUGAUUCAAACUAUUAUCAAAUCCCCAAUACUGUUGUGUCGCGUCUGCACGACACCAGUCUGGUGGAUCGCGACCACAUUCGUUUUCUACGGGUUGUCCAUCAACUCCACUGGGCUCCCGGGCAACAUGUAUGCCAACUACAUGCUAGUGAGUGCCGUGGAGAUCCCUGCCAAUUUCACGGCUGUCCUGUUUCUGGAUCGUGUUGGCAGGAAAACUGUUCUUGCGUCUGGGUUCUUUCUUAGUGCUGCUUGCAACUUUACGUUUGCUUUCAUUGACAAUAAUGAACUAGUGACGCUGGGUUUAAUACUGUUUCUCUUGGGCAAAUUUGGAAUCUCGGCAGUGUUUACUUGCCUAUACAUUUACACAUCUGAGCUGUACCCAACACAGUUCCGUCACACGCUCUUGGGAUUCUCUUCUAUGAUUGGACGUAUUGGCUCCAUCACUGCUCCGCUAACUCCUGCAUUGGCGGUAUACUGGGAUGGAGUUCCAGGGGUGAUGUUCGGUGCCAUGGGUCUAAUAGCUGGUUUGCUGGUGUUCACACAACCGGAGACUCUCGGCUGCCAGAUGCCGGACACCCUGGCUGAGGCUGAGGAUAUUGGAAGACAGAAGAAGAUCGUUACAACAGCUCUAUAGUAUAUUACUUCUAUGCAAUUAGUAUGGCAACGUGGGUACUUAACACCUUGCAGGACACUACUCUAGACACGAGAGAAAGAACAAUGGGAUGACGACUACAGGCCCCGUAGCCGAAUGGCAUUUCUCCGACGCCAAACGAAAGCGAUACGCCGCUGGCUCUGUCGCGCCAAUACGCAAGCGCGAUAGAGAUAGAUAUCUACUAGCGCUUCGUUUCGUGAGCGUUUCGUGAGCGAUUGUGCCAUUCGGCUAGCCACCCUGGUGUUAAGUGUCCACCAAAAUGUUUGAUUGGAGCACCGAUCGUAUCCACCUUACGCUUUGAGCCGUUUACUAGCCUGUUUGUAAACAUGUAUGUACGAUUUUUUAAAGGAUAAAAUUCAUUGUGGACAUGAAAUGGGAUAUAUUAUUAAGAUACACUCCAAAUUUUAGGACUUUUCUGAAAGUUUUAGGAUUCCUGUAUUUCUAAUGUGAUUCAUAAGUUUAUUUUAGCUUUUGAGUUUUGCUACCAUUCUACGCAAGGCGACGAGACGUUUUCUUUGGAAACUCGAUGCUGGAGAAUGCAUGAGGAAUAUUUCGGGGAAAGUCGCUACGGCGAGCCAAAGUAUUUUGAUGUCAAUCCCAUAAUAGGUCUGGGGAGUAAUAAAUUGUGAUACCUAUUGCAGUCAACCUACCAAUUGUACACAAUUAGUCAACCACAAUUGAACCUAUGUCGCAUACGACAUACGACACAGCGACACGAAAUUCUUAACCCGUCACCACGUGGAUCAUUCUUAACCCUUCAACACAACGGAACGGAAUGAGAAGUAAAUAAAUAUUAUAUAAAUGACAUAAUAAAUUGUACUCGGGUCUUUGGAAUGUAAGGUUUAUCUCUUAUAGCUAUAUUAUUUGGGUAUUACGUUAGGUUAUCAGAUAAAAUUGUAAUUCCAAAGAUUAAAGUAUUUUCUUGAAAACCCACUCCAGACUGGCAACAAAGUUAAUUUACUCCAAAAACUGGCUCAGGCAACUAAUCAGCAUAAUUGAUGUUGAUUAAUCAGAUCGGUAAUGGGGAUAAUCCCUCGAGGAUUCCAGGUAAGGCUGAUUAGGCAGAUAAGUAGGUAUCUCUAUCUACUGUAGUAUGUACUCGUACAUAGGUAUUUAUGAUACUAGCUUUUUCCCGCGGCUUCGCCCGCGUACUUAAACGUUGAACUUUAGACCCCCAUUUCUCCCCCAUAAGAUGUGAAUUUUGAAAAAAUACUUUCUUAGGGCUCCUAUGUUUAUGAGGAACCUACGUGAAAAAUUUGGAGUUUCUAUUACCAGCGGUUUCGGCUGUGCCAUUAGAUAUGUCAGUCAGUCUGUCAGAUUCUUCUUUGUCAUAUAUGUUUUGAACACCACCGACAGGCCUGAGUCGACCGUUAUGUCAUUCAAAACUUCAAGAAAAUCAAAAUGACACCUUUGACAACGAUAAAUCUGUGAUAAAUCUUGUUUGCGUGAUUUGAAUCAUUAUAGGAUCCAUGAGAAAUUAGGAAAUAGUAGGUAUAUUACACUCUAAGUGCGUACGUGUAUAGGCGACAUACCUCUUAGUCAAAUCAGCUUAUUUUUAAGAACUGUCAAAACGAAUUUG
This 3354-nucleotide unclassified non-coding RNA is filed under the name Leguminivora glycinivorella. Its description in RNAcentral is "solute carrier family 22 member 7-like, transcript variant X2". Lineage: Eukaryota; Metazoa; Arthropoda; Insecta; Lepidoptera; Tortricidae. The record is from RNAcentral.